UUGCCAGAGGAAGACAGUUUGCUCUUUGGUAGGGCAGGACUCUUGAUUCCAUGUGCUUGAUGCACUACUGUAGGUGCCUGUGCUGAUAAGGCAUAUACUAUGACAACAUGACAGAGUUCAGCAAUGGAAAACAUGCAUGCAGGCCGGGUAUGAUUCAAAGAAAUCGGAGUGAAUGGGGAAAAGUUACUUUAUACUGAGGGUAAAAGGAUGGAAGGGGAAGUACUUCUUCCAUUUGAAGUGAAUAUGUGGAAACCUCAUCAAAAUCCAACACUGAACACAUGUGGCCUUUUGGAAAGCGUCUCCGUGCAAGAGCGUCCCCAGCAUCCAGAGUGAUAAAAAUCAUGUACUGAGCUGAGUCGAAUGGCAUAGCUGAAGCAGAGCUGUAAAUACAGUGGUAGGCGGUUUCCUGCCAAAACUCCCCUGCAUGUCCAAGAACCCACUGUGACUCAGCCAUUGCAGUCACUGGGAACUCGGCACAGACACUCUUUCUAGUUGGGUAUUUCUACUUCUCUUUUUGCACCAUAUCAAGAGGGGCUCCAUUCAUCCCUGGAGGAAAAAACCUGACAACGUGGCCCAAUAUUUUUGUUGUCUUAAAGUAAUGAUCUUGUUGUAGAAGAGCAAGACUGCUCGAUCUUCUUGUGAAAAUGUCAGUGACCCAUGCCUGUAAAACAACCUGUCUGCUUGGAUUCUUGUUAGAUCUUUAUGUGAAAGUUCCUGGGAUUUCCAUUAAUACACUUUAAAUGGGCUCUUACCUGCAUCUCUUGAUGGCCUGAAAGUGAAGUUUUCACUGCUCUUCUUUUAUGUGCAAGGAGACUGAAGAAUGACUGUUCUUUUUAUUUUAAAGAGUGUGAGUGUGAAUAUGCUGAAUGGAUGGAAGAUGAGUAAGUGUUUGGUUAUAAUGCAUUUUUCUAGUGUACCUACUGUUCCUUCCAAGAGUUAGCAUCUUUGGAAAGAUGAUCCAAGCUGGAAGAAGCCAUGCCCUCGGCAAAAUAACAGCAAGAGCAAUGUUGAGUAGUUUCUAGGUCAGCAGCAUCUAGGGUCUCAUCUGCCCAAGAAUAUUUGAAGCUGUCAGAUGUCAUCUCCUCACUCCUCUGGAUUCAUAGCUUUGAUGCUCUGUCAUUUAAGAUAACACUUCCUCUAGUCCAUUUUGAACCUGCACAGAUGGUUGCCUCUGUAUGCAAAAGGUUCUGUACCCACAAAGCUUUACAGUUUUCUGUACCCACAAAGCUUUACAGUUAGCAUUGGCAAUUAAUAAAGCAGACCUGGGAGAUGUGCAGUUCCCAUCAGCUAAGCUAGAAUGGGCCGUUCUGUCCUUUUCCCCUCCUUAUCCCACGCAGUAUUUGUUCUCUUGCUUCUUUCUUUCUUCUCACAUUUCUAGCCUGUCUCAUCUCCUCCAGUUCACAUUCUUAUUCCUAAUUCUCUCUCUUUUUUUCUGUUCUUCCUGUGUUAGUCUCAGCUAAUUCUGUACUGGCCUCUUCCACAAUACUGCUGGAACUCUGUCCCCAUCUGAGCUUUCUCUGCAUGAACAAAUCCCUGUGUCCCAGGUUUAAAAAUGUACUUCGCUCUGCUUUUCUCUGCCUUCCAGCUUCCUGAAUUUUCUGUUACUCUUUUACUGUUUAAUACUUCUUUUACUUUCAAGAUGCUCUGUCUUUUACUUUCUUUCUCUGUCUCCAGUAACGUAUACUUCAGACAGUUUUGUUUUUUAUUCUGAGAAUUUUCUACCUUCUCCAGGUUUCCGUUUAGCAUCUGAAGCAUAUCUGUGGUUCCGUUACUGAACUUCCUUUCUGGGAAGUGCAGGCUCCUUGUACUUUGACUCAGGUCAUUAACAUCAAAGUGGAUUCAUUUUUUCUUGCAAAUUCCCAUAACUACCCACUUUACCCACUUUUAUCCUCUUUUCCUCAAUCCCCUCCACUACCGCACACAGCAGUGCUAUGCGGUUCAUUCUGCUUGAUGAAAGCCACCACAGAGUUGCUGUUCCCCAGACAAGUAACCUGCUGCUGCUCUCACAGCUGCAACUUGUGAAGGAUUUGGUGUGUUUUGAAAUGCUCCAAUCUGAAAACCAAGAGCCAGGGUUUUCACCUAGAGCCGCUGAGGAGGGGAUACCCAAGGAGCUGGCAGCAAGAAGGAGCAGAGGGCAGAGGUGAGGCAUGCAGCGGGUGUCUGGCCUGGGGUACUGACUGGGAGCCAGCCAAAAGGCGAGGGCAGCACUGGGAGUGCCUAGCUCCUGGCUGGGGGCCUGAGGAUACACACUGGCCUGCCACAUCCACCUUCCUCCCAGGGGACUGCCGUAGCCCUCAUAGCUCAGCACUCUUCUGCCAGAAAUACGGCGAUACAGACUGUGAGCACAGUACAUCCACUUCCACACAAAUUUUAAUUUCUGAAUUUUAUUUCACCGAGUGACUAGAAUUCUACUUCUCCUUUUCCCCCACACACUCCUUUUUUAAGUAUAUUAGUACUUAAGGAAAAUAUCUGGCCCACGUGGGUAGCAGCCCCAGUACCCCACAAACACAGAGCGGCUGCUGAGAUCCUGCUUUCUGAGAAGAGCUUACCAGAAUGACCGGAGUGGGGUGAGUAGGCAGAGCCUGGGCUGCUGCAGAGCGCUGCACCCACCUGCGUCAUGCAGGAUGCAAUGACUGCUGCUGCCUGUGCUCGGGACGGCCCGUACUCAUGUCGGCGAGGGAGAGCACUGCACCCUUAUCAGCCGCGGAAGACAAUUAUGUUCUCACUCUCAAUGGAUAAGCCGGAUGCUGGUGGCGGUAAUGGCAGAGUAUUUACAGAAGGCCUGCAGCUGUCAAGCGUGAUGAGCUUCCUCCACUGCCAUUAAAUGCAGUGUGAUUGCUGUGGGAUCACCUCCAGAAAACACUGCCUGUUGAGACAUCAGAUGUUUCUCCUGCAGCUCAGAACACGUCUCCAUGCUGAGCCAGCUCUUUGGUAGGAACUUUGCACACAGUGCUAUGUAACUUUGCUUUUUACUGAAAGGAACGGAUUUUCUGGUUUUGGAAAACAAAUCCAUUACUCGUGUAGCUUGGCAGUACUUCUGCCCUUCAUGUAACAGUUUCUCUAAGGAAAAUCUUUUAAAAGGGACCUCUUAGUCUCUCCUGCCUAUUACACUCUUGAAUUAGGGAGUUAGGGGCCCUGAGUUGGGUCUUAGUUUAACUGUCCACUAAAUUAGGGGCCCU
Molecule: long non-coding RNA, 3179 nt
Organism: Numida meleagris (helmeted guineafowl)
Lineage: Eukaryota; Metazoa; Chordata; Aves; Galliformes; Numididae
Exons: 3
Source: RefSeq, a predicted model, not a curated record